GGGACGACGUCAAAUCAUCAUGGCCCUUACGGCCAGGGCUACACACGUGUUACAAUGGGCGCCACAACGGGCUGCAACUGUGCAAACAGAAGCGAAUCCCUUAAAAGCGCUCUCAGUUCAGAUCGUAGGCUGCAACUCGCCUACGUGAAGUUGGAAUCGCUAGUAAAUGCAGAUCAGCACGCUGCAUUGAAUACGUUCCCGGGUCUUGUACACACCGCCCGUCACACCAUGGAAGCUUGUGACGCCCUAAAUCGGGAUCUCAACCGCAAGGAGAGAACCGCCUAAGGCAGCGCCGGUGACUGGGGUGAAGUCGUAACAAGGUAGCCGUACCGGAAGGUGCGGCUGGAUCACCUCCUUUCUAAGGAGA
Molecule: ribosomal RNA, 367 nt
Filed under: Candidatus Melainabacteria bacterium RIFCSPHIGHO2_02_FULL_34_12
Lineage: Bacteria; Bacillati; Candidatus Melainabacteria
Description: bacterial SSU rRNA
Rfam family: Bacterial small subunit ribosomal RNA
Source: RNAcentral